UACAGAGGUCUCGAGCGUUAGGCGGAAUCACUGGGCUUAAAGCGUGUGUAGGCGGAUCGUUAAGUGCUUUGUGAAAUCCCACGGCUCAACCGUGGAACUGCUUGGCAUACUGGCGGUCUUGAGCAACCUAGGGGCGAGCGGAACAAAUGGUGGAGCGGUGAAAUGCGUAGAUAUCAUUUGGAACGCCAAUGGUGAAAACAGCUCGCUGGGGGUUUGCUGACGCUGAGACACGAAAGCCAGGGGAGCAAACGGG
This 253-nucleotide ribosomal RNA is filed under the name uncultured bacterium. Its description in RNAcentral is "partial 16S ribosomal RNA". It matches the Rfam family "Bacterial small subunit ribosomal RNA", at positions 524 to 776 of the family's 1533-position model. The record is from RNAcentral.